This is a long non-coding RNA of Silurus meridionalis, 797 nucleotides long. RefSeq lists it as uncharacterized. Lineage: Eukaryota; Metazoa; Chordata; Actinopteri; Siluriformes; Siluridae. The record is from RefSeq and is a predicted model, not a curated record. The transcript is spliced from 8 exons.
CAGUCAUGUCUCCGGUUCUUUCUGCGCAUGCUCCGAACUUAAUGUAUUGGGUGACCUACGUUCCUGUGGUGGUGAACAUGACUGCGAGUUCUCCAGAAGAACAAAUGCUGCAACAUCCAUCUACCAAGAGGAAGAGGAAAACGAUCGUUGUCCGAGAUCCUAACCAGGACAACAAGGACAUCACGGAGGAGAUCAUAUCAGAAGCUGGCAGGAGUCGGAGCCCACUCUGCCAGUGGGAAAUGUCUUUUCCGUCCCUAUGCCUCUGCAGCGUUGUGGGUUAGUCAAAGAAACCUAAAAAUGAGCAUCAGAAAAUAAAAAGCCUCGGUCUCCACACACGCAGUAAUACCGGAAGUAUGCAGUGGGAUCGAAUUUCAGGGGACGACGGCGGAACUGGAAGAACGGCUGCGAUGGAGAAACUAGCGCUAGAGCCACAUCCGGAGCAUCAGUAAAACUGGACGCAGUGCCAGACUCGACUACAAACAAGCUGCGCUAUCAGAGGAGGAAAUGGAGAAACGCUCCAUACACAUCGGUUAUUAUCUUGUUACUGCGUCACAUAAUCGUGGUGGGUUCGUGUGCAGGAGGCCUCGCAUUGCGUGGAGGAACUGGACCAGGGCGGGAUGCUGUACGUUGUUGUUCGGAGCCAAAAGGAAGUGGAGGUCUUAUGGAGGGACUCUAAACUGAGCUGUGCUGAUGUUCUUCCUGAAACCGUGGAUGGGAACAACUUCAUUACUGAGCAGCCCUGAUGAAGUCUGAUGACCUGAAGAGGGUGGAGCUGAGACUUCAGACAGCAGACGGAC